AGUGAACGCUGGCGGUAGGCCUAACACAUGCAAGUCGAACGGCAGCACAGUAAGAGCUUGCUCUUACGGGUGGCGAGUGGCGGACGGGUGAGGAAUACAUCGGAAUCUACUUUUUCGUGGGGGAUAACGUAGGGAAACUUACGCUAAUACCGCAUACGACCUACGGGUGAAAGCAGGGGAUCUUCGGACCUUGCGCGAUUGAAUGAGCCGAUGUCGGAUUAGCUAGUUGGCGGGGUAAAGGCCCACCAAGGCGACGAUCCGUAGCUGGUCUGAGAGGAUGAUCAGGCACACUGGAACUGAGACACGGUCCAGACUCCUACGGGAGGCAGCAGUGGGGAAUAUUGGACAAUGGGCGCAAGCCUGAUCCAGCCAUACCGCGUGGGUGAAGGAGGCCUUCGGGUUGUAAAGCCCUUUUGUUGGGAAAGAAAAGCAGCAGGUUAAUACCCCGCUGUUCUGACGGUACCCAAAGAAUAAGCACCGGCUAACUUCGUG
Molecule: ribosomal RNA, 492 nt
Filed under: uncultured bacterium
Lineage: Bacteria
Description: partial 16S ribosomal RNA
Rfam family: Bacterial small subunit ribosomal RNA
Source: RNAcentral